RNAcentral lists this ribosomal RNA (445 nucleotides) under uncultured bacterium. Its description in RNAcentral is "bacterial SSU rRNA". It matches the Rfam family "Bacterial small subunit ribosomal RNA", at positions 66 to 543 of the family's 1533-position model. The record is from RNAcentral.
ACGAGAAAGCCCCGCAAGGGGUGAGUAAAGUGGCGUACGGGUGAGUAACACGUGGGUAAUCUACUCUUUGGUGGGGAAUAACCCUGGGAAACCGGGGCUAAUACCGCAUAAGCUCGCAAGAGGAAAGGUGAAAAUCGCCGAAGAAGGGGCCCGCGGCUGAUUAGCUAGUUGGUGAGGUAAAGGCUCACCAAGGCGAAGAUCGGUAGCCGGCCUGAGAGGGCACACGGCCACACUGGCACUGAAACACGGGCCAGACUCCUACGGGAGGCAGCAGUGGGGAAUCUUGCACAAUGGGGGAAACCCUGAUGCAGCGACGCCGCGUGAGCGAUGAAGCCCUUCGGGGUGUAAAGCUCUUUCGGCAGGAACGAUAAUGACGGUACCUGAAGAAGAAGCUGCGGCUAACUACGUGCCAGCAGCCGCGGUAAUACGUAGGCAGCGAGCGUUG